This 429-nucleotide ribosomal RNA is filed under the name Bacteroidota bacterium. RNAcentral describes it as "Bacteroidetes bacterium partial 16S ribosomal RNA". It matches the Rfam family "Bacterial small subunit ribosomal RNA", at positions 355 to 776 of the family's 1533-position model. Lineage: Bacteria; Pseudomonadati; Bacteroidota. The record is from RNAcentral.
UAGGGAAUCUUCGGCAAUGGGGGGAACCCUGACCGAGCAACGCCGCGUGAGUGAAGAAGGUUUUCGGAUCGUAAAGCUCUGUUGUUAAGGAAGAACGAGUGUGAGAAUGGAAAGUUCAUGCUGUGACGGUACUUAACCAGAAAGGGACGGCUAACUACGUGCCAGCAGCCGCGGUAAUACGUAGGUCCCGAGCGUUGUCCGGAUUUAUUGGGCGUAAAGCGAGCGCAGGCGGUUAGAAAAGUCUGAAGUGAAAGGCAGUGGCUCAACCAUUGUAGGCUUUGGAAACUGUUUAACUUGAGUGCAGAAGGGGAGAGUGGAAUUCCAUGUGUAGCGGUGAAAUGCGUAGAUAUAUAGAAGAACACCGGUGGCGAGAGCGGCUCUCUGGUCUGUAACUGACGCUGAGGCUCGAAAGCGUGGGGAGCGAACAGG